Molecule: long non-coding RNA, 219 nt
Organism: Amblyraja radiata (thorny skate)
Lineage: Eukaryota; Metazoa; Chordata; Chondrichthyes; Rajiformes; Rajidae
Exons: 3
Source: RefSeq, a predicted model, not a curated record
GGCUUUGCACUGUGUGAAUUUCAGACAGCGCUCCCCCGGCUUGCCCUGUCCCCUGCCUUUGCGAUGUGUCUGUGUGUGUUCCACUCUGACGGUCGCCAUUCCAUUUUCCGUUUUUUCAUGCGAAUCAUGGCAAUUUGACCAUCGCCGGCUGAUGUCUAAAAAAUUGCCUAAGUGGGACAGGCCGAUUAGCUUACAAUUUUUAAAUUGAUCUUUAGCCCA